ACUCCUGUGCAGUCUUCUGCUGCUGCCAGGCUCGCUUCCCUCUUUCGCACUCCAGAAGAGGAGCGAGAGAGAACUGCUGGGAAGGAUGCCCAGCCCGAGGGGUCUGGGGAAAAAGAAGCAAAAAACGAACUCCUCCCCCCAGGACCGACUCAUCUCCUCCGAGGAAAUCGAGGAGACACUCCCCCAGGCGACGAACUCCUCCGCGUGGGAGAUAUUAUACUGGGGAGUCCUCCCGGGGUCGGUACACAUAUUCUUCUACUCGGGAGACACAAUUGCCGGGUUACCAAGGUUCCCACCCCCGGAAUUACGGGACCAAGUUCCCGCUGGUUGCUGACAUGGAUGCCGCCCGAACCACAUUGCGGACUAUAUCUGGGUAUCCGAUGGACCGGACUGUCGAAGAAAUCGGACAGAACCUGAGCAACGUAAGUACUUUUGUUUUACUAUUUUUAUGAGUAUG
This 457-nucleotide long non-coding RNA is filed under the name Zostera marina. RNAcentral describes it as "long non-coding RNA (ZMAR_LNC000054)". The record is from RNAcentral. Lineage: Eukaryota; Viridiplantae; Streptophyta; Magnoliopsida; Alismatales; Zosteraceae.